This 446-nucleotide ribosomal RNA is filed under the name uncultured bacterium. RNAcentral's name for it is "partial 16S ribosomal RNA". It matches the Rfam family "Bacterial small subunit ribosomal RNA", at positions 338 to 795 of the family's 1533-position model. The record is from RNAcentral.
CCUACGGGAGGCAGCAGUCGGGAAUAUUGCGCAAUGGAGGAAACUCUGACGGUGCGACGCCGCGUGGGGGAAUGAAGGUCUUCGGAUUGUAAACUCCUGUCAUGUGGGAGCAAAUUAAAAAGAUAGUACCACAAGAGGAAGAGACGGCUAAAUCUGUGCCAGCCGCCGCGGUAAUACAGAGGUCUCAAGCGUUGUUCGGAAUCACUGGGCGUAAGGCGUGCGUAGGCUGUUUCGUAAGUCGUGUGUGAAAGUCGCGGGCUCAACCCGCGGACGGCACAUGAUACUGGGAGACUAGAGUAAUGGAGGGGGAAGCGGAAUUCUAGGUGUAGCAGUGAAAUGCGUAGAGAUCGAGAGGAACACUCGUGGCGAAGGCGGGUUCCUGGACAUUAACUGACGCUGAGGCACGAAGGCCAGGGGAGCGAAAGGGAUUAGAUACCCUAGUAGUC